This 352-nucleotide long non-coding RNA is filed under the name Pan troglodytes (chimpanzee). RNAcentral describes it as "long non-coding RNA NONPTRT000852". Lineage: Eukaryota; Metazoa; Chordata; Mammalia; Primates; Hominidae. The record is from RNAcentral.
AAUAAGGAUGUAACGGCUCUAAUGGAAUAAAAAUAGUCUUUCAAAUGUAGAUAUAUAUAAAGUUUAAAGAGUUUGAGGUUGGCCUGCUGGGGGGUACAAAUUAAUGACUAGUCAGCGCCCGACAUCAUGCACCAUCUCCUUUUAACACCAAAUAGCUGUAGGUGGACAGCACUAUUACUGACCCCACCUGACGGAGCAGGCACGUGCACACACACUCACACACAGAGACAUGCACACACUCAUGGGCACACACAGAAAGGUAAGGCAGACAAGCCUAAUUAACCUAAGAAAAUCUAACCCCAGGUUGCUGCCAGAAAUGGACUUUGAGAAUGCAGCUCAGGGUGCGCGUAGG